Molecule: transfer RNA, 73 nt
Filed under: Camelus bactrianus (Bactrian camel)
Lineage: Eukaryota; Metazoa; Chordata; Mammalia; Artiodactyla; Camelidae
Also listed under: 3 other names
Rfam family: tRNA
About the family: Transfer RNA (tRNA) molecules are approximately 80 nucleotides in length. Their secondary structure includes four short double-helical elements and three loops (D, anti-codon, and T loops). Further hydrogen bonds mediate the characteristic L-shaped molecular structure. tRNAs have two regions of fundamental functional importance: the anti-codon, which is responsible for specific mRNA codon recognition, and the 3' end, to which the tRNAs corresponding amino acid is attached (by aminoacyl-tRNA synthetases). tRNAs cope with the degeneracy of the genetic code in two manners: having more than one tRNA (with a specific anti-codon) for a particular amino acid; and 'wobble' base-pairing, i.e. permitting non-standard base-pairing at the 3rd anti-codon position.
Source: Rfam by way of RNAcentral
UGGGGGAUAGCUCAAUGAUUAGAGCACAUGCUUAGCAUGCACAAGGUCCUGGGUUCAAUCCCCAGUCCCUCCA